ACGUCCUCUACCUCUGGUGUCCGCUAGUGGCAGGCUUUCUCCCUUUUUCUGCUCGUUCUCUUUUUCUCCUGCUCUCUCAUUUUCUCAGGUGGGCGUGAGAACAGACGGCGGUGAGGCUGGUGGCAGGUGUGUAGCAUUGGUAAUCAGCUGACUGGUCGCUGGGUGAUUGGACGCCUGCAGCUGCAACCACUCUCCCUAACAGAUCUUAAGCAGCAGUGUGACCAGACCUCAACGCCGGAUUGUAGCAUCGCUUCAAUUGGAUUUCCUGCCUGUUCCUGUGCAGUUCUACUCUCCUGUCAAGCCAUUCUCCGGCCCACGCUUCCCUUUCGGACCUCUGCUCAUCGGAUCAUCCUCGUUCCUCAACGCCACCGACAUAACCCGCCGGUCUACAGCCGCGGCUGCUCGCCUGCCACCAGCUCGCCCUCAUCCGCCUGCCGUCUCUUCUCCGUCCGCCUGCUGCUGUUCCCCCCUCUUCUUGUGCACUUGAGCUAAGUAGCGUAGCUAGCUAUAGCUUAUUAUCUUUCUGUUUUUGUGGUAAUGUGCGCGAACGUUACUGUUAGUUUGUAGUCUGACCUUUUAGUCUCGAGUUAGCUCCAGUAGUGGCGGAGGUGUGCGUCUUGCCGCAGAAUACCAUAUUGUUUGUACUUUAAUCAGCCCUAGUUUCUAAGCUUCUCCUAAUGUUUGGUUAGUUUGCUGUUCCUAGCCAGAUUGUUUCCUGGUAAUGGUCCUGAGUAUAUUCUGUUGUUGUAGAUAACCUGUGUAUUCAUUAAAGCUCUUGUACUGAUA
Long non-coding RNA from Stegastes partitus (bicolor damselfish), 786 nucleotides. RefSeq lists it as uncharacterized. The transcript is spliced from 2 exons. The record is from RefSeq and is a predicted model, not a curated record. Lineage: Eukaryota; Metazoa; Chordata; Actinopteri; Pomacentridae.